AUAUGGUCAAGGAGUUAAGGGCCUAUGGUGGAUGCCUCGGAGCCGCUCGGCGAAGAAGGGCGUGGUAAGCUGCGAAAAGCCACGGGGAGGGGCACACACCCUGAGAUCCGUGGAUUCCCGAAUGGGGUAACCCGGCGGGCUGGAGGCCCGUCACCUAUGGACUGAACACAUAGGUUCAUAGGAGCGAGACCCGGGGAACUGAACCAUCUCAGUACCCGGAGGAAAAGAAAUCAAGAUGAGAUUCCCUGAGUAGUGGUGAGCGAAAGGGGAGGAGCCUAAACCAUGCUGGUGUAGAAGGUUCGGGCCGUUGCCAGCAUGGGGUUGAGGGGCCGUUCUGGAGGGAGCCCGGAAUCCCUCGCGCAGUUACCAAGCACCCGGCUAGUGGAAUGGUCUGGGAAGGCCAGCCAGAGAGGGUGAAAGCCCCGUACACGAAAGCUGAGGUGCCUGCGUGGGAACGGUACCCGAGUAGGUCGGGACCCGAGGAAGCCCGACUGAAUCUGGGGGGACCACCCUCCAAGGCUAAAUACGAGGCGGCUACCGAUAGUGGAGAAGUACCGUGAGGGAACGGUGAAAAGAACCCCGGGAGGGGAGUGAAAGAGAACCUGAAACCAUAGGCCUACAAGCAGUCAGAGCCCGCGGAAGCGGGUGAUGGCGUGCCUUUUGCAGAAUGAGCCUGCGAGUUACUGUUGCAAGCGAGGUUAAGGGACAGGAGUCCCGGAGCCGUAGGGAAACCGAGUCUUAAGAGGGCGCUAGUUUGCAGCAGUAGACCCGAAGCCGGGUGAUCUAUCCAUGGCCAGGUUGAAGCUGGGGUAACACCCAGUGGAGGACCGAACCCUAGUCUGGUGAAAAAGGCAGGGAUGAGCUGUGGAUAGGAGUGAAAGGCUAAACAAACCCGGCGAUAGCUGGUUCUCGCCGAAAUAGCUUUAGGGCUAGCCUUGCAGUUGACUGUAGCGGAGGUAGAGCACUGGAUGGGCUAGGGCCCUUCACCGGGUACCAAACCCAACCAAACUUCGAAUGCCGCUACAGGCUCUGCGGGAGUCAGACUACGGGCGACAAGGUUCGUGGUCGAGAGGGGAACAGCCCAGACCGCCAGCUAAGGUCCCCAAACCGUGCUUAGUGGGAAAAGAGGUGGGGCGGCGAAGACAGCCAGGAGGUUGGCUUAGAAGCAGCCAUUCCUUAAAAGAGUGCGUAACAGCUCACUGGUCGAGUCGCCCUGCGCUGACAAUGUAACGGGGCUAUGCACGGUACCGAAGCUGCGGGUCGACACCUGUUUGAGGGUGUUGGCGGUAGGCGAGCGUUCCGCGUACCGAUGAAGGUGUGCCGUAAGGCAUGCUGGAGGGGGCGGAAGUGAGGAUGCAGGCAUGAGUAACGAAAAGAGGGGUGAGAAUCCCCUCCGCCGAAAGCCUAAGGUUUCCUGAGUAAAGGUCGUCUGCUCAGGGUUAGCCGGCCCCUAAGGCGAGGCCGAAAGGCGUAGCCGAUGGGAAACGGGUUGAUAAUCCCGUGCCUCUCACAGUUUCCGAAGGGGUGACGCAGGAGGCGAAGCCGGGCCGGGGGAUGGUAGACCCGGUGUAAGCGAGCGAGCCUGAGAGGGCGGUAGGCAAAUCCGCCGCCUGAGGUGAGCCGUGAAGCCGAGCCCUGUAACAGGGGCGAAGCCGGUGUAGUCAGACUGCCGAGAAAGAGCCUCUAGGGGUAAGCUGUGAGAGACCGUACCGGAAACCGACACAGGUAGGCGGGAUGAGCAUUCCAAGGCGCGCGGGAGAACUCGCGUUAAGGAACUCGGCAAACUACCCACGUAACUUCGGGAGAAGUGGGGCCUCUGGUGGGUGGCGUAAGCUGCUUACUGGGGGUUGCAGAGUCCAGGCCCAAGCGACUGUUUACCAAAAACACAGGUCUCUGCGAACUCGUAAGAGGACGUAUAGGGACUGACACCUGCCCGGUGCCGGAAGGUUAAGGGGAUCCGUGAGCCUUUGGGCGAAGCGGUGAACCGAAGCCCCGGUAAACGGCGGCCGUAACUAUAACGGUCCUAAGGUAGCGAAAUUCCUUGUCGGGUAAGUUCCGACCCGCACGAAAGGUGUAACGACUUGGGCGCUGUCUCAACGCGAGACCCGGUGAAAUUGAAGUAUGGGUGAAGAUGCCCAUUACCUGUGGCUAGACGGAAAGACCCCGUGAACCUUUACUGCAGCCUGGCAUGGGGACUUUGCAUGGCAUGUGUAGGAUAGGUGGGAGGCAGGGAAGCCUGUGCGCCAGCACAGGUGGAGCCGUCGGUGAAAUACCACCCUUGCCAUGUAGGGUUUCUAACAUCUGCCGUGAUCCGGUAGGUGGACAGUGUCAGGUGGGCAGUUUGACUGGGGCGGUCGCCUCCUAAAGGGUAACGGAGGCGCGCGAAGGUCACCUUGCGCUGGUUGGAAAUCAGCGUGGACGUGCAAGGGCAUAAGGUGGCCUGACUGCGAGACCGACGGGUCGAGCAGGCGCGAAAGCGGGUCCUAGUGAUCUGGCGGUACCGAGUGGAAGGGCCGUCACUUAACGGAUAAAAGGUACUCCGGGGAUAACAGGCUGAUCCUGCCCAAGAGUCCACAUCGACGGCAGGGUUUGGCACCUCGAUGUCGGCUCAUCGCAUCCUGGGGCUGGAGCAGGUCCCAAGGGUUCGGCUGUUCGCCGAUUAAAGCGGUACGUGAGCUGGGUUCAGAACGUCGUGAGACAGUUCGGUCCCUAUCUGCCACAGGCGUUGGAUGGUUGAGGGGGUCUGCUCUCAGUACGAGAGGACCGGAGUGGACGGACCUCUGGUGUACCAGUUAUCGCGCCAGCGGUAGCUGCUGGGUAGCCAAGUCCGGAAGGGAUAACCGCUGAAGGCAUCUAAGCGGGAAGCCCACCCCAAGAUGAACCAUCCCUGGCACACAACGUGCCCUGAAGGAGCGAGGGAGAAGACCUCGUCGAUAGGCUGGCGGUGUACGCGUGGUAACACGUUCAGCCGACCAGUACUAAUCCUCCGUGAGACUUGACCGUAU
This 3005-nucleotide ribosomal RNA is filed under the name Winmispira thermophila DSM 6192. RNAcentral's name for it is "bacterial LSU rRNA". It matches the Rfam family "Bacterial large subunit ribosomal RNA". Lineage: Bacteria; Pseudomonadati; Spirochaetota; Spirochaetia; Winmispirales; Winmispiraceae. The record is from RNAcentral.